UNGCUUCACUUCUUGAGCCUUUUUCUAGAC
This 30-nucleotide non-coding RNA is filed under the name Mus musculus (house mouse). The record is from RNAcentral. Lineage: Eukaryota; Metazoa; Chordata; Mammalia; Rodentia; Muridae.